Long non-coding RNA from Mastomys coucha (southern multimammate mouse), 196 nucleotides. RefSeq lists it as uncharacterized. The transcript is spliced from 2 exons. NCBI's taxonomy places the organism in Eukaryota, Metazoa, Chordata, Mammalia, Rodentia, Muridae. The record is from RefSeq and is a predicted model, not a curated record.
UUCCAGAAUGCCAAGGUUAUUAGAGGCUUUCCAACUUUGAUGGGAACUUGGGGUCAGGUCCCAGCCACAGUCCCUAUAUGCAUGGUUUCCAUCUGUACUGCAUAAGUGAGCUGACACUUGUCACCUCUUCCUACUUCCACAAAGUUGCCAGUGUCAUGACUCCCCCAUUAUAAUAGACUGUAUCUCCAAACUGUAA